This 1467-nucleotide long non-coding RNA is filed under the name Acyrthosiphon pisum (pea aphid). Its description in RNAcentral is "uncharacterized LOC103309845, transcript variant X2". The record is from RNAcentral. Lineage: Eukaryota; Metazoa; Arthropoda; Insecta; Hemiptera; Aphididae.
UAAUAUUGAUAAUAACCGGUGCGACUACAACAAACUGCAGUUUUGCAAUUAUAGAGAACUAUGACUUUUCAUCAACCAAAGUCGGCGCUGCGUAAAAAAAUAAUGUCGAAGAAUUGCUAUAAGUACUCAUUUUUUAUAGCUGUUGGAAGUGUGACUCUUGAAAAUAAAUAAUAUACGAUAAACAAAAAAGAAACCGUAAGAUUAUUUUACAUCACUUUGGUCUUUACGUCUGAAGAUUUGUCUCUACUCAUAAUAUUAUAGUAGGAGGCAUUAGAUGUUGCUUACUAUACUGCUGUAGUUGUUCUUCUAUGAAUGUUGAUAAACCAAAAGAUUCUGCAUAAUGUGAUAUUUGGAUGUAAUUCUGAACAUUGGAUGAGAUCAGACAAAGAAACUCUGAUUAGAACCCAUAAAUUAUGUUCUAAACAUUUCACGAAGAAUUUCACAAAAAAUCCAAAACAAAAUAGACUUGCCAAAUGCAAUUCUGACAUUGUUUGAAACAAUUUUCUAUUUAAACCGAAAAUUCAGCGCAUGUGUCUAAUUCUCAAUAUUCACACUUGAGUCGUAUCUGAAGUGUCGAUUGAAACCGUUUCUUCAGGUGCUCAAACUCCAAAUUCUUUAUCUGCCAAAUAUUUCCACAGAAUCGUUAAUUGCAAAAAAAACCUUUCCGAUUUUCUCAGCUCAAAUAAAGAAGUUUGAAAAACAAUAUUGGUGAAGAGACGUUCAGUAGAUACAACUGUUCUCAACCAUAGGGUCGCCAAAAAAUUAGUUAUAAUAAUAUUAUUAACAUAUUAAGUAAUAUGAGUAAAAAAAAAAUUAAUUAAUUAAGUGUAAUAGAGUUUCUUUUAUUUAUGGAAAUUGAUAAUAUUGGUCUUUAUGUAAAAACCUUUAUAACUGGUCAAGGAUUAUUUUGCCAAGAUUAUUUUCAACAUUUCCCUGGAGCAAAUUGUAUGGAGACCUUGAUCAAACUUUACAUAAAAUGAAUGACUAACCUCUAUUAAUAUUUUCAAUGUAAUAAGUCCUCAUCAACAAAAUAUUUUUAAAUUAUAUUCAAUUGUUGUACAGUAGAUUAUAGAUUAUAAGCAUUUAAGUAUAGUAGAAAACAUGCUUUCACAAUUUCACAUACGUAUGUGGAUAUUUAAUAAGUAUUAUUAUUAUUAUUAUUAAUAAUAUGUAAUAAGUUUGGAGAAACAUGUUUGUGAAAUUUGUAUCAAUUAUGCUAACUAUCUUAAAUUAUUAGACUGGUCUUUUUUACUAUCUUUCUUUAAAUCUUAUUCUUAUUCUAACAACUCAGCUUACUUAGUUAAUUAGUACACCCCAUGACAAUUUUCACUAUUAUUCUAUAGACUUAGAACAUAUUUUCUGGACAAUUUUUGCAAUAGAAGAUGUUGUUAUGCCUCAAUUAAAACAUUUUUUUUUAUUAAUUUUGUAAUAUUGUGUCAUUUAUGAAAUUAAUUUUAAUUUUUUACC